CGCCGCGCCUCACACCGUGAUGUUUCUGGCCACUUCCCCGAGGCCCGCCUCCUCCACACUUCCCAGGACUGCCCCACCCCCCUUUCGUCCGGACCCAGAGGAGAGCGGCUCUCACCCGGGCCGGGCCGGGCCUUUCCCGGUCACUGCAGUAAGCUCCCAAUGGAUGUCCCCGCCUCGAGCCACUGGGCCACAGACUGGAGGCUGGGGGUCCCCCGGGGCCCCUCCCCCCCGGGUCCCUAGAGGUCAGGGGCGGGAAGUGACCCAACCCCUCGCCCUUUCCACGCCCGCCCCUCCUUUCCCGGGUCGGCGGCCAGCCUGAGGAUCGCGGCCAGCGCGCGGCGCUAGGACCGCGCGGCCUAACAUCGCAAGCUCGUCCCACCGUGGGACACCCGGGGCCUUCCCACGCGGCGAGUCCCUUCUCUCCGGGCUCCGGACUUUUGGCUUAGGGGGCCCCACGCGCUCCCAGGACAGCCUGGUCCGCGCCGAGCGGCGACGUCAGGCGGGAGUUACUUAGUAGCCGCUGGGCGGCGGCCCCGCCCCCCCCGCCUAUACUUUGUAUCCGCGGAGGAAGGUCGGCUCGCCGAGGGGGCGGGGCCGGACGAGGCGCUAGGAAAGACCGAGGCUCCGCCCCCUCAAAGUCGGUCCCGCCCCAGUCCGCCUCCGACCAUCGAGCGCGCGGGCGGGAGGACUCGUCGUCCUAGAGGGGCCCGGAAACGGCUACCGGGCGGGGCCUGUGCGGACAUCGCCCGCCUCCUGGCGAGCGGAGCCUCCGGGCGGCCCGCGGCCCAGACGCGCCGGCAGGCUCCGCGAAGGAGCGGGCGGCUUUGGUCCCGGAGCCCUGGAGCGGCCCGCGAGCUCGGGGUCGGGGGAGGCGGGGCCUGGGGAGGGGACGGACGUGACGUCAAGGUCACUUCCGGUCUGGCCGGCCGUCCCCCCCGGGCCCCGAGGAGCCGCCGCCGCCGCCGUCAGGGAAGGAGGAGGAGGAAGAGGAGGAAGAAGCCCGAGGACCAAGGAGGAGGAAGGGAGGAAGGAGGAAGCGGCGGCGGCUCCGGGGUGCCCGCCCGACCUACACGGACAGGAACAGGAACCGCGCCGGAUCUCCGCCCCCGGCAUGGAGCUGCGGGAGGAGGACUGGUCCCCCGAGCCCCUGGACUCCUCGGGCAAGUGGCCACCGAGCCCGGGAGGGGAGGGAGGGGAAAGAGAAGCGCAGGUGACGGAAGCACUGUCAGCUCUGGGGCUGCAGAGCCAGGACUCGGGGGCUGCAGAGCCAAGACUCGGGGGCUGCAGAGCCAGGCCUUGGGGGCUGCAGAGCCAGGACUGGGGG
This 1324-nucleotide long non-coding RNA is filed under the name Sarcophilus harrisii (Tasmanian devil). RNAcentral describes it as "lncRNA (ENSSHAG00000031910.1)". The record is from RNAcentral. Lineage: Eukaryota; Metazoa; Chordata; Mammalia; Dasyuromorphia; Dasyuridae.